UUAGGCUUGAAUUAUUAGGAAGUAACUAGAAUAUGUAGUGUAGCGGUGAAAUGCUUAGAGAUUACAUGGAAUACCAAUUGCGAAGGCAGGUUACUACUAAUGGAUUGACGCUGAUGGACGAAAGCGUGGGUAGCGAACAGGAUUAGAUACCCUGGUAGUCCACGCCGUAAACGAUGGAUACUAGCUGUUGGGAGCAAUCUCAGUGGCUAAGCGAAAGUGAUAAGUAUCCCACCUGGGGAGUACGUUCGCAAGAAUGAAACUCAAAGGAAUUGACGGGGGCCCGCACAAGCGGUGGAGCAUGUGGUUUAAUUCGAUGAUACGCGAGGAACCUUACCAAGGCUUAAAUGUAGAUUGACCGUUUUGGAAACAGAACUUUCGCAAGACAAUUUACAAGGUGCUGCAUGGUUGUCGUCAGCUCGUGCCGUGAGGUGUCAGGUUAAGUUCCUAUAACGAGCGCAACCCCUGUUGUUAGUUGCCAGCGAGUCAAGUCGGGAACUCUAACAAGACUGCCAGUGCAAACUGUGAGGAAGGUGGGGAUGACGUCAAAUCAUCACGGCCCUUACGCCUUGGGCUACACACGUGCUACAAUGGACGGUACAGAGAGCAG
This 607-nucleotide ribosomal RNA is filed under the name uncultured bacterium. Its description in RNAcentral is "bacterial SSU rRNA". It matches the Rfam family "Bacterial small subunit ribosomal RNA", at positions 636 to 1249 of the family's 1533-position model. The record is from RNAcentral.